GUGUUCAGUGAAAUCGAGUAGGGCGGGACACGUGAUAUCCUGUCUGAAUAUGGGGGGACCAUCCUCCAAGGCUAAAUACUACUGACUGACCGAUAGUGAACCAGUACCGUGAGGGAAAGGCGAAAAGAACCCCUGUGAGGGGAGUGAAAUAGAACCUGAAACCGUGUACGUACAAGCAGUAGGAGCAGGCUUGUCCUGUGACUGCGUACCUUUUGUAUAAUGGGUCAGCGACUUAUAUUCAGUAGCAAGGUUAACCAUCUAGGGGAGCCGUAGAGAAAUCGAGUCUUAACUGGGCGUCGAGUUGCUGGAUAUAGACCCGAAACCAGGUGAUCUAGCCAUGGGCAGGUUGAAGGUUGAGUAACAUCAACUGGAGGACCGAACCGACUAAUGUUGAAAAAUUAGCGGAUGACUUGUGGCUAGGGGUGAAAGGCCAAUCAAACCUGGAGAUAGCUGGUUCUCCCCGAAAUCUAUUUAGGUAGAGCCUCGGACGAAUACUACUGGGGGUAGAGCACUGUUAAGGCUAGGGGGUCAUCCCGACUUACCAACCCUUUGCAAACUCCGAAUACCAGUAAGUACUAUCCGGGAGACACACGGCGGGUGCUAACGUCCGUCGUGGAGAGGGAAACAACCCAGACCGCCAGCUAAGGUCCCAAAUUACAGCUAAGUGGGAAACGAUGUGGGAAGGCUUAGACAGCUAGGAUGUUGGCUUAGAAGCAGCCAUCAUUUAAAGAAAGCGUAAUAGCUCACUAGUCGAGUCGGCCUGCGCGGAAGAUGUAACGGGGCUAAGCUGUAAACCGAAGCUGCGGCAAUGCAUUUUAUGUAUUGGGUAGGGGAGCGUUCUGUAAGCCGUUGAAGGUGUGUUGUAAAGCAUGCUGGAGGUAUCAGAAGUGCGAAUGCUGACAUGAGUAACGAUAAAGGGGGUGAAAAACCUCCUCGCCGGAAGACCAAGGGUUCCUGUCCAACGUUAAUCGGGGCAGGGUAAGUCGACCCCUAAGGCGAGGCCGAAAGGCGUAGUCGAUGGGAAACGGGUUAAUAUUCCCGUACUUCUUACAAUUGCGAUGGGGGGACGGAGAAGGCUAGGUGGGCCUGGCGACGGUUGUCCAGGUUCAAGUGCGUAGGCUUGAGAGUUAGGUAAAUCCGGCUCUCUAUAAGGCUGAGACACGAUGUCGAGCUACUACGGUAGUGAAGUCAUUGAUGCCAUGCUUCCAGGAAAAGCCUCUAAGCUUCAGAUUGUAAGGAAUCGUACCCCAAACCGACACAGGUGGUCGGGUAGA
RNAcentral lists this ribosomal RNA (1274 nucleotides) under Vibrio tetraodonis subsp. pristinus. Its description in RNAcentral is "Vibrio sp. OCN044 partial 23S ribosomal RNA". It matches the Rfam family "Bacterial large subunit ribosomal RNA", at positions 395 to 1675 of the family's 2925-position model. The record is from RNAcentral. Lineage: Bacteria; Pseudomonadati; Pseudomonadota; Gammaproteobacteria; Vibrionales; Vibrionaceae.